RNAcentral lists this microRNA (21 nucleotides) under Sphaeroforma arctica. The record is from RNAcentral. Lineage: Eukaryota; Ichthyosporea; Ichthyophonida.
CCAUAGGGACGUUUGCCCGUU